This 484-nucleotide ribosomal RNA is filed under the name uncultured bacterium. Its description in RNAcentral is "partial 16S ribosomal RNA". It matches the Rfam family "Bacterial small subunit ribosomal RNA", at positions 30 to 507 of the family's 1533-position model. The record is from RNAcentral.
AUUGAACGCUGGCGGCAGGCCUAACACAUGCAAGUCGAGCGGAUGAAGGGAGCUUGCUCCUGGAUUCAGCGGCGGACGGGUGAGUAAUGCCUAGGAAUCUGCCUGGUAGUGGGGGAUAACGUCCGGAGACGGGCGCUAAUACCGCAUACGUCCUGAGGGAGAAAGUGGGGGAUCUUCGGACCUCACGCUAUCAGAUGAGCCUAGGUCGGAUUAGCUAGUUGGUGGGGUAAAGGCCUACCAAGGCGACGAUCCGUAACUGGUCUGAGAGGAUGAUCAGUCACACUGGAACUGAGACACGGCCCAGACUCCUACGGGAGGCAGCAGUGGGGAAUAUUGGACAAUGGGCGAAAGCCUGAUCCAGCCAUGCCGCGUGUGUGAAGAAGGUCUUCGGAUUGUAAAGCACUUUAAGUUGGGAGGAAGGGCAGUAAGUUAAUACCUUGCUGUUUUGACGUUACCAACAGAAUAAGCACCGGCUAACUUCGUG